Molecule: ribosomal RNA, 186 nt
Filed under: uncultured bacterium
Lineage: Bacteria
Description: partial 16S ribosomal RNA
Rfam family: Bacterial small subunit ribosomal RNA
Source: RNAcentral
CCUGCACGAAGUUGGAAUUGCUAGUAAUCGCGGAUCAGCAUGCCGCGGUGAAUACGUUCCCGGGUCUUGUACACACCGCCCGUCACACCAUGAGAGUCGGGAACACCCGAAGUCCGUAGCCUAACAGCAAUGAGGGCGCGGCCGAAGGUGGGUUCGAUAAUUGGGGUGAAGUCGUAACAAGGUAAC